RNAcentral lists this ribosomal RNA (1662 nucleotides) under human gut metagenome. RNAcentral describes it as "bacterial LSU rRNA". It matches the Rfam family "Bacterial large subunit ribosomal RNA", at positions 828 to 2505 of the family's 2925-position model. The record is from RNAcentral.
UCCAAUCGAACCCGGAGAUAGCUGGUUCUCCUCGAAAUAGCUUUAGGGCUAGCCUCAUGGAUCAUUGAUGGGGGUAGAGCACUGAAUGUGCGCGGGGGCCACAAAGCCUACCAAACGCUAUCAAACUUCGAAUACCAUACAAUGCAGACCAUGGGAGUCAGUCCGCGAGAGAUAAGUUCCGCGGGCAAAAGGGGAACACCCCAGAUCAACCGCUAAGGUCCCCAAGUUCACGUUAAGUGGAGAAGGAUGUGGAAUUGCACAGACAACCAGGAUGUUGGCUCAGAAGCAGCCACACAUUUAAAGAGUGCGUAAUAGCUCACUGGUCGAGUGAUUGUGCGCCGAAGAUGUCCGGGGCUAAACGUGACACCGAAGCGAUGGGUGCAUCUGAAGAAGAUGCGCGGUAGAGGAGCAAUGUGCAGAGGCAGAAGCCGUAUCGAGAGGCACGGUGGACACUGCACAAGAGAGAAUGCCGGUAUGAGUAGCGAGAGGCAUGCGAGAAACAUGCCCGUCGAAAGCCCAAGGUUUCCUGGGGAAGGUUCAUCCGCCCAGGGUAAGUCGGGGCCUAAGCCGAGGACGGAAGUCGUAGGCGAUGGACAGCAGGUGUAGAUUCCUGCACUACCGAUGGAAUGAAGCAGUGACACAGAAGGAUAACUCGAGCAGGGUGAUGGUCAACCCUGUGCAAGCAUCAAGGUUGGGUUGUAGUGAAGUACGCAACCCUAUAAGCUGAGAUGUGAUGCGGACCGAAAUUUCAGUAGGGAAGCGAGUGAGUUCACGCUGGCGAGAAAAGCUGCUAGUACAUCCAAAGGUACCCGUACCGGAAACCGACGCAGGUGGGCGAGGAGAGAAUCCUGAGACGAACGGGAGAACCCUUGUUAAGGAACUCGGCAAAAUGACCCCGUAACUUCGGGAUAAGGGGUGCCUGCGAGAGCAGGCCGCAGAGAAUAGUCACAAGCGACUGUUUAGCAAAAACACAGGUAUCUGCGAAAGCGAGAGCUGACGUAUAGGUGCUGACACCUGCCCGGUGCUGGAAGGUUAAGGGAACAUGUUAGAGCAAUCGAAGCAUCGAACCGAAGCCCCAGUAAACGGCGGCCGUAACUAUAACGGUCCUAAGGUAGCGAAAUUCCUUGUCGGGUAAGUUCCGACCCGCACGAAUGGUGUAACGACUUGUGAGCUGUCUCAACAGGGGGCCCGGUGAAAUUGAAGUAUGGGUGAAGAUGCCCAUUACCCGCGACUGGACGGAAAGACCCCGUAGAGCUUUACUGCAGCCUGAUAUUGAGUUUCGGUAACUGAUGCACAGGAUAGGUGGGAGUCUGAGAGACAUGGGUUUCGGCUCAUGUGGAGACGGUGUUGGGAUACCACUCUUCGGUUACUGAAAUUCUAACAUAGCUCUGUGAAACCAGAGGAUGGACAGUGUCAGGUGGACAGUUUGACUGGGGCGGUCGCCUCCGAAAGAGUAACGGAGGCGCCCAAAGGUACCCUCAGAAUGGAUGGAAACCAUUCGAAGAGCGCAAAGGCAGAAGGGUGCCUGACUGCGAGAUUGACAAAUCGAGCAGAGACGAAAGUCGGGCUUAGUGAUCCGGCGGUAUUGAGUGGAAAAGCCGUCGCUUAACGGAUAAAAGCUACCUCGGGGAUAACAGGCUGAUCUCCCCCAAGAGUCCACAU